UGGGGAAUAUUGGACAAUGGGCGAAAGCCUGAUCCAGCCAUGCCGCGUGAGUGAUGACGGCCUUAGGGUUGUAAAGCUCUUUCGCCGGUGAAGAUAAUGACGUUAACCGGGAAAGAAGCCCCGGCUAACAUCGUGGCAGCAGCCGCGGUAAUACGAAGGGGGCUAGCGUUGUUCGGAAUUACUGGGCGUAAAGCGCACGUAGGCGGACCAUUAAGUCAGGGGUGAAAUGCCGGGGCUCAACCUCGGAAUUGCCUUUGAUACUGGUGGUCUUGAGUCCGAGAGAGGUGAGUGGAACUCCGAGUGUAGCGGUGAAAUUCGUAGAUAUUCGGAAGAACACCAGUGGCGAAGGCGGCUCACUGGCUCGGUACUGACGCUGAGGUGCGAAAGCGUGGGGAGCAAACAGGAUUAGAUACCCCUGUAGUCC
RNAcentral lists this ribosomal RNA (424 nucleotides) under uncultured prokaryote. RNAcentral describes it as "bacterial SSU rRNA". It matches the Rfam family "Bacterial small subunit ribosomal RNA", at positions 355 to 796 of the family's 1533-position model. The record is from RNAcentral.